AGAAAAACGAAGACGAAGAGUAGUACAUUUAUGUCGUAUGUAAAGAGAGUCUGUGGUUGGUGCAAACAGAUGAUACGCUAAGUGGAAUGGACUUCCGAGUUAACUUUGCGAACCUUUAUGUAGUAGCUCUGUUCGUUUACCUCACGUUACGAGGAUGAGUGGUCGAUUUAUCGACAAGCUUGGGUGGUACCGCGGAUUCAACAUCAUUCGUCCCUAUU
Molecule: non-coding RNA, 218 nt
Filed under: Viridibacillus arenosi
Lineage: Bacteria; Bacillati; Bacillota; Bacilli; Caryophanales; Caryophanaceae
Description: T-box sequence
Rfam family: T-box leader
About the family: Uncharged tRNA acts as the effector for transcription antitermination of genes in the T-box leader family. T-boxes are found upstream of many aminoacyl-tRNA synthetase genes and some amino acid biosynthetic genes usually in Gram-positive bacteria.
Source: RNAcentral